Molecule: ribosomal RNA, 1237 nt
Filed under: metagenome
Description: bacterial LSU rRNA
Rfam family: Bacterial large subunit ribosomal RNA
Source: RNAcentral
UGUUAAGGAACUCGGCAAAUUACCCCCGUAACUUCGGGAGAAGGGGGGCCACAGACUGUCAUACCCCACGCGGGUGGCAGCAGUAGGUGGCCGCAGAGACCAGGGGGAAGCGACUGUUUACUAAAAACACAGGUCCGUGCGAAGUCGUAAGACGAUGUAUACGGACUGACGCCUGCCCGGUGCUGGAACGUUAAGGGGACCGGUUAGUCCGCAAGGGCGAAGCUGAGAACUUAAGCGCCAGUAAACGGCGGUGGUAACUAUAACCAUCCUAAGGUAGCGAAAUUCCUUGUCGGUAAGUCCCGACCUGCACGAAUGGCGUAACGACUUCCCUACUGUCUCAACCACAGGCCCUGCGAAAUUGCACUACGAGUAAAGAUGCUCGUUACGCGCGGAAGGACGGAAAGACCCCGGGACCUUCACUAUAGCUUGACAUUGGUAUCCGAAUUUAAUUGUGUAGGAUAGGUGGGAGGCUUUGAUCCGCGGACGCCAGUCCGUCGGGGAGCCAACGUUGAAAUACCACUCUGUUGACUUUGGGUAUCUAACUUCGGACCGUGAUCCGGUUCAGGGACAGUGUCUGGUGGGUAGUUUAACUGGGGCGGUUGCCUCCUAAAAUGUAACGGAGGCGCCCAAAGGUUCCCUCAGCCUGGUUGGCAAUCAGGUGUUGAGUGCAAGUGCACAAGGGAGCUUGACUGUGAGACUGACAGGACGAGCAGGGACGAAAGUCGGGACUAGUGAUCCGGCACCUGCGAGUGGAAGCGGUGUCGCUCAACGGAUAAAAGGUACCCCGGGGAUAACAGGCUGAUCUUCCCCAAGAGUCCAUAUCGACGGGAUGGUUUGGCACCUCGAUGUCGGCUCGUCGCAUCCUGGGGCUGGAGUAGGUCCCAAGGGUUGGGCUGUUCGCCCAUUAAAGCGGCACGCGAGCUGGGUUUAGAACGUCGUGAGACAGUUCGGUCCCUAUCCUCCGCGCGCGUAGGAGACUUGAGAAGAGCUGUCCCUAGUACGAGAGGACCGGGACGGACGAACCUCUGGUGUGCCAGUUGUCAUGCCAAUGGCACGGCUGGUUAGCUACGUUCGGAAGGGAUAACCGCUGAAAGCAUCUAAGCGGGAAGCUCGCUUCAAGAUGAGGUCUCCCACCCCUUAGAGGGUUAAGGCCCCCAGCUAGACCACUGGGUUGAUAGGCCAGAAGUGUAAGCCUGGUAACAGGUUCAGCCGACUGGUACUAAUAGGCCGAGGACUC